RNAcentral lists this ribosomal RNA (491 nucleotides) under uncultured bacterium. RNAcentral's name for it is "partial 16S ribosomal RNA". It matches the Rfam family "Bacterial small subunit ribosomal RNA", at positions 28 to 507 of the family's 1533-position model. The record is from RNAcentral.
GAUGAACGCUAGCUACAGGCUUAACACAUGCAAGUCGAGGGGAAACGACAUCGAAAGCUUGCUUUUGAUGGGCGUCGACCGGCGCACGGGUGAGUAACGCGUAUCCAACCUGCCCAUCACUUGGGAAUAACCUUGCGAAAGUAAGACUAAUACCCAAUGACAUCCCACGAAGACAUCUGAAUGGGAUUAAAGAUUUUUCGGGAAUGGAGGGGAUGCGUCUGAUUAGCUUGUUGGCGGGGUAACGGCCCACCAAGGCAACGAUCAGUAGGGGUUCUGAGAGGAAGGUCCCCCACAUUGGAACUGAGACACGGUCCAAACUCCUACGGGAGGCAGCAGUGAGGAAUAUUGGUCAAUGGGCGAGAGCCUGAACCAGCCAAGUAGCGUGCAGGAUGACGGCCCUAUGGGUUGUAAACUGCUUUUAUAAGGGAAUAAAGUGGGUCUCGUGAGACUUUUUGCAUGUACCUUAUGAAUAAGGACCGGCUAAUUCCGUG